RNAcentral lists this ribosomal RNA (253 nucleotides) under uncultured bacterium. RNAcentral describes it as "partial 16S ribosomal RNA". It matches the Rfam family "Bacterial small subunit ribosomal RNA", at positions 524 to 776 of the family's 1533-position model. The record is from RNAcentral.
UACGAAGGGGGCUAGCGUUGUUCGGAAUUACUGGGCGUAAAGCGCGCGCAGGCGGUCCUCCAAGUCAGUGGUGAAAGCCUGGAGCUCAACUCCAGAACUGCCAUUGAAACUGUUAGACUUGAGUACGAGAGAGGUGAGUGGAAUUCCCAGUGUAGAGGUGAAAUUCGUAGAUAUUGGGAAGAACACCGGUGGCGAAGGCGGCUCACUGGCUCGUAACUGACGCUCAGGCGCGACAGCGUGGGGAUCAAACAGG